GUGGCGAACGGGUGAGUAAAGUAUCGGAACGUACCUUUCAGUGGGGGAUAACGUAGCGAAAGUUACGCUAAUACCGCAUAUUCUGUGAGCAGGAAAGCAGGGGAUCGCAAGACCUUGCGCUGAUUGAGCGGCCGAUAUCAGAUUAGCUAGUUGGUGAGGUAAAGGCUCACCAAGGCGACGAUCUGUAGCGGGUCUGAGAGGAUGAUCCGCCACACUGGAACUGAGACACGGUCCAGACUCCUACGGGAGGCAGCAGCGGGGAAUUUUGGACAAUGGGGGCAACCCUGAUCCAGCCAUGCCGCGUGAGUGAAGAAGGCCUUCGGGUUGUAAAGCUCUUUCGGCCGGGAAGAAAUCGUAAGGGUUUAUACCCUGUGCGGAUGACGGUACCGGCAUAAGAAGCACCGGCUAACUACGUGCCAGCAGCCGCGGUAUACGUAGGGUGCGAGCGUUAAUCGGAAUUACUGGGCGUAAAGCGUGCGCAGGCGGUUUUGUAAGACAGGCGUGAAAUCCCCGGGCUCAACCUGGGAACUGCGCUUGUGACUGCAAGGCUAGAGUAUGGCAGAGGGGGGUGGAAUUCCACGUGUAGCAGUGAAAUGCGUAGAGAUGUGGAGGAACACCAAUGGCGAAGGCAGCCCCCUGGGCCAAUACUGACGCUCAUGCACGAAAGCGUGGGUAGCAAACAGGAUUAGAUACCCUGGUAGUCCACGCCCUAAACGAUGUCAACUAGGUGUUGGGUGGGUAAAACCAUUUAGUACCGGAGCUAACGCGUGAAGUUGACCGCCUGGGGAGUACGGCCGCAAGGUUAAAACUCAAAGGAAUUGACGGGGACCCGCACAAGCGGUGGAUGAUGUGGAUUAAUUCGAUGCAACGCGAAAAACCUUACCUACCCUUGACAUGUCCAGGAGCCUGAAGAGAUUUGGGUGUGCCCGAAAGGGAACUGGAACACAGGUGCUGCAUGGCUGUCGUCAGCUCGUGUCGUGAGAUGUUGGGUUAAGUCCCGCAACGAGCGCAACCCUUGUCGUUAAUUGCCAUCAUUUAGUUGGGCACUUUAACGAGACUGCCGGUGACAAACCGGAGGAAGGUGGGGAUGACGUCAAGUCCUCAUGGCCCUUAUGGGUAGGGCUUCACACGUCAAACAAUGGUCGGUACAAAGGGUUGCCAACCCGCGAGGGGGAGCCAAUCCCAGAAAGCCGAUCGUAGUCCGGAUCGCAGGCUGCAACUCGCCUGCGUGAAGUCGGAAUCGCUAGUAAUCGUGGAUCAGCAUGUCACGGUGAAUACGUUCCCGGGUCUUGUACACACCGCCCGUCACACCAUGGGAGCGGGUUCCGCCAGAAGUAGGUAGCCUAACCGCAAGGGGGGCGCUUACCACGGCGGGGUUCGUGACUGGGGUGAAGUCGAAACAAGGUA
This 1407-nucleotide ribosomal RNA is filed under the name metagenome. RNAcentral describes it as "bacterial SSU rRNA". It matches the Rfam family "Bacterial small subunit ribosomal RNA". The record is from RNAcentral.